CUGGAGGCUUAUAAUUGCUAACCAAAAGUACAGCAAAACGGCAGAGGCUUCUGUUAACGGCAGCUGUGCUCUGAAGAUAAGGACGAUAAAACGCCAGCCAGCGAGGAGAGCUCUUUGGAGGGAAAUUUGCAGUGUGCUUUGAACUAUCCCAGGAAUCCCAAACUGGUGUUUCUCAGCCUGCCUGUCACCCCCAGGAGCAACGUGAGCAGCCUUUGUUGGACCUGGAGUGUUGCUUUUGGUAUCCUUCCCUGAGAGGUACAGUCCGGCGGCACAGCUCAAACACCUCAAAUCUGGAGAACUGACAGAACUGAGCCUAAUGGCCGUUCACCAACAGACUUGUUGGUCCCCGAGAAGGGGCACUGGUACGUCCAGG
Molecule: long non-coding RNA, 373 nt
Organism: Prionailurus viverrinus (fishing cat)
Lineage: Eukaryota; Metazoa; Chordata; Mammalia; Carnivora; Felidae
Exons: 3
Source: RefSeq, a predicted model, not a curated record